AACUUCUGUAACUAUGGAAUAUGGAAAUCCCAGAAUCUGCAUAUGGGCAUGUGUCAGGAGAGUAGGGAACACCUUGAUAAAAGGUGAGAUCUAUAAGCUAUGUGCAAGGAAGACUGAUUCUCUUCAUGCCUAAAGCUGCCUGGAGAAGACCCACCAAGAGUAUGCAUAGCAGUCUCUUUUACUCUAAAUCUAAAAACUUCAAUAUUAUUCUCAUCCCCAAAUACCCUCCAGACUGACAUUAAAAAUUUACCUUCACAUAAACCAAAUGUGUAUUUAAGAAUGCAGAAAAAUAAGGUAUGUCAAAGGAGAAUGAAAUAAUGCUUGAAAUAACUACAUACACAGCAUUUCUAAAAUAGAAGUCAAAAGCUAGUACUCUUGAAUUUCUCAUUUUAAUGUUUCCUUGUAGACAUUCUGACAUCAUGGACAUCAGUGAUUAAGAUUCUUAAAGACUUAAAGUGGUAACACUGAAUGUUUCAAGGAAUCAGCUACUGUGUUUUUUUUUCUCUUCAACCCUGGAGAAGUCAUAAAGGAAGUAGAUUGAAUUCAUUCAGCAAGAACCAGGCUUGACAACAGUAGCCUUACUUUAUAUGUGAACUAUGAAGGCAACACAACAUAAUAGGAAAGAACAAGGCAUUGAAGUCAGAAGGCUCUUUUCUUUACCCUGUUCAACACUCAGUUGGUGUGAUUUCUUGGCAAGCUGCAUAGCUCACUAAGCCACAAUUUCCAUAUCUAUAAACUAACGAUAAUUGAGCCUAUUUUCCUAGGGCUAUCAUGAGGAUUAAAGGAAUUAAAGCAUUUGCAACUCCACACAAUGCCUGACAUGUGAUAACUCAAUAAACAUUGUACUUAUAAUAGCUACAGGAGAAGAAAAGGAGUUGGAGCCAGAGGCAUAGAACUGUGAUAAACCAAUCUCAUCCUUACUUCCCAUCUUCUACAACAGAGACAAUAGCUAAACAGCCAUCAUAGCUCUGGACCUCAAGAUUUUGUGAUGUCCCUGGUCAGAAGUUCAGGCUUUUAAGAAGACAGAAAGAAAAUGACACAAUAAGCUUUAUUUUCAUCUUUCUAAAAUGGGACAAGAGGAAAUUUCCGUCUGCCUUCUGAAAUUUGCAGAUAUGAACUGAUGAUGGUCAAAUUUAUAGAUGGGAACCUUACAGACUUAUUAAUGAGCAUAGCAACAUCAAGGAACAUCACUAAUCCCGUGCAACUGCUAAGCUGUACAUUCUUCUUCAGAGGUGAGAGAGAGACAUAUGAAGACAGGCAAUUGGGAAGGUUAGCUUCUGACUCCUGGGAUAUAACAUGAUCUGGACACAGUGCCUGUUGGUCUUGGAAAGCCUCUGAGAAGCUCUAGGAAUACAAUUCCCAGGAGAAUGUUGACCUGAGCAUGCAGAGAAUGAGUGGAAGUCUCUUUGUAUGGACAUGUAUUUCUACAAUACCCAUGAAUGUUUUCCUUCUGGCCACUGAAGAGGAGGAUUCAUCUUUAUCUUCACUGUCAUCAAAGGAUAAGAUUAAUUAUGCCACAGUAAGUAACUACCAAAUUCCAAGCACUGGGUGAGUGUAAACAGGUCAGGUUUGGAGCAUAAGCGAAACCCGAGAUGCUCAUAAUCUGUGUAGCAACUCAAAAACACACAAGGGGGACUGCUGGGACCUGUGAACAGGAGAAUUCAAGAAGUGACACUCAGUGGAGAACUUGGGUGCUGGCUGCCUACCCCAUGCAAGCUAAGGAGCAUGUCCCACAACAAAGGUUGCAAACUGGUUUUAAUGACAGACCUACCUGAAAGAUAUCUCAUUCCUGAUGAGGACCCCACAAUUUCUUACCACCCUUCUGACAGGAGGUCAUGUAGUUGACUCUGAGGAUGUGGUGCUCUGAGGGCAGUGUGAGAUUCCAGGAAGGGUCCAUGGGACUAGCAUGGUAAGUGUAGGCAUCUCUUAUUCUAUAUUUAGGAAGAUGCAUCAUUUUGUUAUCACAGCUAAAAUUUGGAAAUGCUUAGUCUUUCA
Non-coding RNA from Cricetulus griseus (Chinese hamster), 1995 nucleotides. The record is from RefSeq and is a predicted model, not a curated record. NCBI's taxonomy places the organism in Eukaryota, Metazoa, Chordata, Mammalia, Rodentia, Cricetidae.